GGCCGGAUCGCGGAUCCGGUGCUGCACGCGUACCUGGUGUGGACGGCGGUGGACACCGGGCUGCCGGUGCAGUUCCACACCGGUUUCGGCGAC
Molecule: transfer RNA, 93 nt
Filed under: Actinocatenispora rupis
Lineage: Bacteria; Bacillati; Actinomycetota; Actinomycetes; Micromonosporales; Micromonosporaceae
Description: tRNA-Thr
Source: RNAcentral